CUAGGUGAAUGGGGGGUCGGCGUUGAAACAAAGCUUCAAACCUUGCCAUGGAGCCCAGUUUUGCAAUGCAUCGAUCAGUCGUUGCAUCUUUGGGCAUAUCCUCUCCACCUCAUCAUCCCAAAUCGAGUGGCGGUGAGGGGUCUGGGGUAGAUCUCUUCCCGACCCUCGAGUUAGCGAGCACCAGCAUCUUCGGUGAAUGGGGCUUGCAGGUCGGCUAAGACAGCUAGGUCCUAGCCACGGGCUACAUGGAGGUGAAAACUGGUUUGUUGGUUUGGCUUAGUCCCACUGUGGAA
This 293-nucleotide long non-coding RNA is filed under the name Elaeis guineensis (African oil palm). RNAcentral's name for it is "long non-coding RNA (EGUI_LNC037660)". Lineage: Eukaryota; Viridiplantae; Streptophyta; Magnoliopsida; Arecales; Arecaceae. The record is from RNAcentral.